Molecule: ribosomal RNA, 442 nt
Filed under: uncultured bacterium
Lineage: Bacteria
Description: partial 16S ribosomal RNA
Rfam family: Bacterial small subunit ribosomal RNA
Source: RNAcentral
CCUACGGGAGGCAGCAGUGGGGAAUAUUGGGCAAUGGGCGCAAGCCUUACCCAGCAAUACCGCGUGAGUGAAGAAGGUCUUCGGAUUGUAAAGCUCUUUGAUCAGGGACGAACAGAUGACGGUACCUGAAGAACCAGCCCCGGCUAACUACGUGCCAGCAGCCGCGGUAAAACGUAGGGGGCGAGCGUUGUCCGGAAUGACUGGGUGUAAAGGGUGCGUAGACGGAGAAGCAAGUUAGUUGUGAAAUCCCUCGGCUUAACUGAGGAACUGCAACUAAAACUACUUCCCUUGAGUACUGGAGAGGAAAGUGGAAUUCCUAGUGUAGCGGUGAAAUGCGUAGAUAUUAGGAGGAACGCCAGUGGCGAAGGCGACUUUCUGGACAGUAACUGACGUUGAGGCACGAAAGUGUGGGGAGCAAACAGGAUUAGAUACCCCAGUAGUC